Molecule: ribosomal RNA, 254 nt
Filed under: uncultured bacterium
Lineage: Bacteria
Description: partial 16S ribosomal RNA
Rfam family: Bacterial small subunit ribosomal RNA
Source: RNAcentral
GACGUAGGGCGCGAGCGUUGUCCGGAUUUAUUGGGCGUAAAGAGCUCGUAGGCGGCUUGUCGCGUCGACUGUGAAAACCCGAGGCUCAACUUCGGGCUUGCAGUCGAUACGGGCAGGCUAGAGUUCGGUAGGGGGAGACUGGAAUUCCUGGUGUAGCGGUGGAAUGCGCAGAUAUCAGGAGGAACACCGAUGGCGAAGGCAGAUCUCUGGGCCGUAACUGACGCUGAGGAGCGAAAGCGUGGGGAGCGAACAGG